This 442-nucleotide ribosomal RNA is filed under the name uncultured bacterium. RNAcentral describes it as "bacterial SSU rRNA". It matches the Rfam family "Bacterial small subunit ribosomal RNA", at positions 338 to 795 of the family's 1533-position model. The record is from RNAcentral.
CCUACGGGGGGCUGCAGUGAGGAAUCUUCCACAAUGGGCGAAAGCCUGAUGGAGCAACGCCGCGUGCAGGAUGAAGGCCUUCGGGUUGUAAACUGCUUUUAUGAACGAAGAAUAUGACGGUAGUUCAUGAAUAAGCACCGGCUAACUACGUGCCAGCAGCCGCGGUCAUACGUAGGGUGCAAGCAUUAUCCGGAGUGACUGGGCGUAAAGAGUUGCGUAGGCGGUCUGAUUAGCGAAUAGUGAAACCUGGUGGCUCAACCAUACAGACUAUUAUUCGAACUGUCAGACUCGAGAGUGGUAGAGGUAACUGGAAUUUCUUGUGUAGGAGUGAAAUCCGUAGAUAUAAGAAGGAACACCAAUGGCGUAGGCAGGUUACUGGACCAUUUCUGACGCUAAGGCACGAAAGCGUGGGGAGCGAACCGGCUUAGAUACCCUAGUAGUC